CUACGGGCGGCAGCAGGCGAGAAAACUUUGCAAUGUGCGAAAGCACGACAAGGUUAAUCCGAGUGGUUUGUGCUAAACGAACCCUUUGACAGUCCUAGAGACACUGUUGAAUAAGGGGUGGGCAAGUUCUGGUGUCAGCCGCCGCGGUAAAACCAGCACCUCAAGUGGUCAGGAUGAUUAUUGGGCCUAAAGCAUCCGUAGCCGGCUCUGUAAGUUUUCGGUUAAAUCUGUACGCUCAACGUACAGGCUGCCGGGAAUACUGCAGAGCUAGGGAGUGGGAGAGGUAGACGGUACUCGGUAGGAAGGGGUAAAAUCCUUUGAUCUAUUGAUGACCACCUGUGGCGAAGGCGGUCUACCAGAACACGUCCGACGGUGAGGGAUGAAAGCUGGGGGAGCAAACCGGAUUAGAUACCCCUGUAGUC
RNAcentral lists this ribosomal RNA (422 nucleotides) under uncultured archaeon. Its description in RNAcentral is "partial 16S ribosomal RNA". It matches the Rfam family "Archaeal small subunit ribosomal RNA", at positions 323 to 746 of the family's 1478-position model. The record is from RNAcentral.